Molecule: RNA transcript, 4648 nt
Organism: Penaeus chinensis
Lineage: Eukaryota; Metazoa; Arthropoda; Malacostraca; Decapoda; Penaeidae
Gene: Galphaq
Gene name: guanine nucleotide-binding protein G(q) subunit alpha
Exons: 9
Source: RefSeq, a predicted model, not a curated record
CUUUCUCAGUGGCUGUUCCUUUCAGCAGGUUCUUCCCCGGCAACGCUGCACUCUUUAAGGAAUUAUUCGUCAAGAGGCCCAUUUGUGGCAGCGAGAAACCUUAAAACUACCACUAACUAAGUCCUAGUGGUCACAGAGGCAGGCGUUAAUCCCGUAUAUAAGCGAGAGAGCAGAGAGGGAGAGAAAAUAGCAGGGAGGAGGCGCACUGAGCAGACGGCCGCACCAAACCCCACCCCAUUUGGCUUUGGGAUUUUGUGUGGAGGAAAUAAGCCCAAAAUUGAGAAAAUUCCCCGAUUAAACGCCGCUUCCCCUUCGUGGCGAAAGGCGGGCUGAAAGAGGAGAGGAAGGAGGUGAAAUUAGUCCCGAAGUUGGAGUGAAAGGAAGUCAAAAUUGGUAAUAAUAUUAGUUGAUCAGCAAACAUGGCGUGCUGUUUAAGCGAAGAAGCCAAGGAACAGAAGAGGAUAAAUCAAGAAAUAGAACGACAAUUAAGGAAAGAUAAGAGAGAUGCCAGAAGAGAACUCAAACUACUGUUAUUGGGCACAGGAGAAUCUGGCAAAUCUACCUUCAUCAAGCAGAUGCGUAUUAUCCACGGUGCAGGUUACAGCGAUGAUGACAAACGAGGGUUCAUCAAGCUGGUCUUCCAGAACAUCUUCAUGGCCAUGCAGUCAAUGAUCAGGGCCAUGGACCUUCUUCAAAUAUCUUAUGGAGACUCUGCAAACAGUGAACAUGCAGAUCUGGUGCGAGCGGUGGACUACGAGUCAGUCACAACGUUUGAGGAGCCCUAUGUAACUGCCAUGAAAAGCUUAUGGGCUGACACCGGCAUUCAACACUGCUAUGAUCGUCGCAGAGAGUACCAGCUCACAGAUUCAGCAAAAUAUUAUCUUGAUGAUUUGGAGCGUAUCAUAUCAUCGGACUUCUUACCGACCGAGCAGGAUAUUCUUAGGGCUCGAGUACCAACCACUGGAAUCAUUGAGUACCCCUUUGAUCUGGACUCAAUCAUCUUUAGAAUGGUAGAUGUCGGUGGUCAGCGAUCUGAGCGACGGAAGUGGAUUCAUUGCUUCGAGAACGUCACCUCCAUCAUUUUCCUGGUCGCACUUUCCGAGUAUGAUCAGAUCUUGUUUGAGUCUGACAAUGAGAACCGAAUGGAAGAAUCAAAGGCCCUGUUCAAGACCAUUAUCACAUACCCCUGGUUCCAGCACUCGUCUGUUAUUCUCUUCCUUAACAAGAAGGAUCUUUUGGAGGAGAAGAUCAUGUACUCACAUCUUGUGGACUAUUUCCCAGAAUAUGAUGGACCAAAAGAGGACCAUGUUGCAGCUCGUGAAUACGUUCUGAAGAUGUACCUUGCCCAAAACCCAGAUCCCGACCGAAUGUGUUAUUCUCACUUUACUUGUGCCACAGACACAGAGAAUAUCAAAUUGGUGUUCUGUGCUGUAAAGGAUACCAUUAUGCAGAAUGCUCUUAAGGAGUACAACCUCGCCUAAAGUUCCUCCUCUUACUUCUCUUGUGUUCCGUCUGUUCAUCUACACUUACAAGACACUGAGAACAUAAGGUUCGUCUUCGCUGCCGUCAAAGACACAAUCCUGCAGCUAAAUCUAAAGGAAUACAAUCUGGUGUAACGUAGAGCUGUGCCCAACUCUGGCCGAAAGUGUACCCAAGGUGAAGUGACAGCAUACCCCCCUACUCUUGUGAGGGGCUGUCGGUUGAGGCCUCACUUCAUCACCCUAACAUGGACACUAAACUAUGAAGGCAGUCAUAUUUUGCAUUUUUAAAACCCAUAUUCAGUGUCCCAAAGAAAUAAAGGCUCUAUGCUUUAUUUUUCUUUCUUUUUUCUUUUCUUUUUUUUCUCAGUUUCCAAAGAUUUGUGUGAGCCUUCAGUUCCCUUCCAAGUCAAGCCAUCCUGUUUGGGACAGCUUCAGCUAUUUGCAGACAGCCUAAAUUGAGGAUGUUUUGAUGCCAAGGGGCUUGACACCUUCAAUUAUGUAGUUCCAAUUUAUGUAAUGUACGCCAUUUCCAAGUCCUCAGUUGCGUACAAUGUCUGUUAACCCAAAGUCUCACACCCGGAAGGGGCGGAUUAACUAGUCCAAAGCCAUGACUGGUUCCAUUUUUGACUGUUGCCAUGUUGCCAAAAGGACCGCCCCUACCCAUGUCCCGUGCUCAUUACCAACGCUGCCAACGAGCUUAGUGCUCUCUGGUCGUAAUGGUGCUCCCUAAGCCCUGAUUCACGCGUGUGGAUGUGUGUGUGUCGCUUAAGCCACACUCAGCCGCUGCUACAUGUGCGUAACUUGGAGCUAAUGUUAGUGUGUACACUGAUAAACAUCAUGGGCUGACACACUCCACAUCUAACGAAGUAUUGCUCCAGCCUCGUUUUCUUGCCUUUGCGGGAAAGUUUGCUUGCCUUGCAGGUGAUUGUUAGGAUGUUUUGUGUUGGUGGCUUUUGUAUAUUACACAUAUAUAAACAUUAUGUGGUCUAACGUUUCAUCUUUAGUGUGUGAUAAUAUGUAGUUGAUCAUGAGAGGAGCUAUCCAUUAUGUAUAGGCCUGCAAAGUUUCCUGGGGGUUAAGGAAGAAAGAAGUGCUUGCUACUGAGACUUUUAUGCACCUCCAAAGUAAUGCAUCUGGACCACAAGUAAGUAGAGCACAGAAAACUACUUGAAGAUGCAACAGCCAAAUGCAGUGAGUCUUAUGGCGUCCAGAGUGUGAGAAAAGAGAAAGAGUCAACAGAACAACAGAGAAGGAACAACAGAAGAAGAAGCAGUUUUAAAUUCUGAUUUCUGAGAGUGAUACUUAGAAAUGUUAAGCAUUGAGUACUUUGCUGCCACUUACCUUAGGUUGGUACAAAUCUGAAUAAAUCAGGUACCACGUAUGAGUAGCUGCUGUAAGAUUUGGAAAUGUAUCUACCUAUGAGGGCAUCAGUGCUUGUGAUAUAUUGGUGGUAGCGAGUAUGGCUUUAAAAUGUCUCCUUAGAUAGCCAGAUCUCCUCUGCCUGGUGAAAGGCAAAGCCAGGUACCAACACUACCUACCAAGUGACACAGAAGCUUAUUGGUGAGGUGCUACAGACUGUAGGCUCUUAAUAUCUACUCUUGCGUCAAAAAGUGCAAUUCAAAGAUAGCUGACUCGGAGCUGAGACUUAAGACUCUUGUGGCUUAUGCGAAAGUGAACCUAGAAUGGUAUUUUUGAGUAUCACUAGCCAUUUACUGAUAAUCAUGCUUGUAUGUGACGUGUGUUCAAUGCAACCUGGGCACAAGGGUGUGCCUGCAAACGUGUCCAGCACUGUCCCCGAUGAUAGGAUGUUGAUUUAUGAUAAUGAGUGUGAUAAUGGUGAUGAUUGUUGAAUGAUGAUGAUUGUAGACGGAAGCACUAGUCAGUAUGGGCGCGGGUAAACACAAUUGCCCACUGCUCAUGUUACUUGUAUAUAUGUGUCUGUAAUAAUAACUAUUAGGUGUAUGGGUGCGGGGUAACCUGGUGAACCCCCAUGGAUUGCCAAUAGAGAAGGUAGCGAAUGAACGGAUGCUGAGAGUAAAUGAACAGACCACGGACAAAGACGUUCCAAAAGCUUGGCGCACCCUAGCGAAAGGGCUGUGUGCUAAUUCUAGUCUCUGGUGCCAUCAGGUGUUUCUUACUAGACAAGCCCAUUCAAUUUUGGGCUGGUCUGAACCUGGCCAUUCUGGCAGACAAACUCGGAUCAGCUGGUGAGGGAGAAAAAACCCGUAGUUGACAGCUGAGCAGAGCAGGCAAAGUGGCUCAUGAUGAAAGCUUUGCCUGCAGCGUAGACUUAGCUCAAUCCCCAGCCAUGUGAGGUACGCAUGGCACGUGUGCUUCUGCUUGCAGGUUCUGCCAUGUUUGUUGGGCUGCUUGUAUAAUUAGUAGAGAGACUAAUGGAAUUACACACAGCCCUGGAAAUGAGCCUUGACCUUCCAAUCGUUUGUACACUUGUUGUUAUAUUCUUAACUUCAGGUUGCAUUUUGUCUAUUGUUUGUAGUAUGUACAGACCAAGUAAGGUAUUAUUUUUAUUCAUUAUCAUUACUUUUAUGGAAAGAAUGUGUUGACAAGUAAUUACCAAUCAUGUGUAUUCAAAAAGACUUGUACUAAGGUUAAAAAAUUGAAAACCCCAUAUGUACCAAAGUAUAACUUGAUUUUAUUUUUGAAGUGGCCGACAUGUAGCAUGCAGUAGUAGUGGGCGGAGGAGGCAACCACAUAGCCACCCCGCUAACCCGCCCCGGUAUUUAGCACUGCCUACUGCUCCACCCACCCUGGGUCCUCCCCCGGCCCUGGGGGGCAUGGAAGCAUUGGCACCGGGGCAGGUGUAGCUUGGGGGGGCCAAGGCCCCAGUCUCCCCCCUGCAGGACCCUGGCCCCUCCCUGGCAUGUUGUCGCAAGAUGUAACCACCAGAGAUGAACUAAACCUUUCUAAUGGCUGCACCUUGCCCUGCCUCCUUCCUGGUGCCUAGCCAGUCACAACAGCGGUGUUUGGCUAAGUACUAGUGUGUGGGCAGCAAAAGGUCAACAAUACACCUGCUGCCCACAUUUCCACCCAUCCUCUGCAGUGCUUCAACCACACCAACUCGGUCCACUACUGUACUAUUCAUUAAGCUUCAGACCGAAAGAAUAAAGAGGGAUUUGUGUUUUAAGAAUAAAUAUUUAUUGAAACAA